RNAcentral lists this long non-coding RNA (830 nucleotides) under Prunus persica (peach). RNAcentral describes it as "long non-coding RNA (PPER_LNC007151)". Lineage: Eukaryota; Viridiplantae; Streptophyta; Magnoliopsida; Rosales; Rosaceae. The record is from RNAcentral.
CCAAUUGAUGUAUUUUAUACUCUUUCUUCUCUCUAACUAGUAAGCAUUUGAUUGGCGGCUAGUACUUGAAAAUUGUGGGCUGCCAUGACUGCGACAAUGAGGUUAUUCCAAACAGGAUGAUUCCAGAAUGUAGGGGACCAUGGGGGCUUUCUUUUAUCUGAAGAAUCUUGUUGCUUGACAAAUUAGAGACCUUCAAUGUGCUGCAGACUCGGAUUCCCUCUGUAUAAUUGCAAAGAAUGUACCUCUCUUCUUCCUAGUGACGAGUUCUUGAUGUAGAUGGAGCUGACCUUACUUGAAAACACAUAACGGCACGCCAUGUGUAUAAUUUUGAGCGGUGAACUGUAGACUAAUAUACAUGUUAUGAUUUCGAUUAACUUGGCAUUUUCUCGUCCAACAAAAAAAAAAAAAAAACUUAUCAUUUUACUCCUAGAACUAUAUCAACAUUGUCAACUCCAGACUUCUUUCUUCAGCCACUUUGUCCCGUGAAUUAUACUAAAUUGGUCAAUCUACCCCCUUCACUGUUAUUCCUAACAAUUCCACUCAAGAUGUCGUAAAGUCACGUACUAACUUUUGAGGACCUCUUGAUCUUUACAAAAAGUGCUCAAAAAUAAAUCAAGUGUUGAUGAUGUGACUUUCCAAAAUGAAUACGGCGAUAAACGAUUAAGAAGCGUACUAACUUUUGAGGACCUCUUGAUCUUUACAAAAAGUGCUCAAAAAUAAAUCAAGUGUUGAUGAUGUGACUUUCCAAAAUGAAUACGGCGAUAAACGAUUAAGAAGCCAUCAAAAGUGAGUCAUGCGUUAAGUACGUGACUUUAUUUGACAGCAUUUUG